AUUGAACGCUGGCGGCAGGCCUAACACAUGCAAGUCGAACGGUAACAGGAAGAAGCUUGCUUCUUUGCUGACGAGUGGCGGACGGGUGAGUAAUGUCUGGGAAACUGCCUGAUGGAGGGGGAUAACUACUGGAAACGGUAGCUAAUACCGCAUAACGUCGCAAGACCAAAGAGGGGGACCUUCGGGCCUCUUGCCAUCGUAUGUGCCCAGAUGGGAUUAGCUAGUAGGUGGGGUAACGGCUCACCUAGGCGACGAUCCCUAGCUGGUCUGAGAGGAUGACCAGCCACACUGGAACUGAGCCACGGUCCAGACUCCUACGGGAGGCAGCAGUGGGGAAUAUUGCACAAUGGGCGCAAGCCUGAUGCAGCCAUGCCGCGUGUAUGAAGAAGGCCUUCGGGUUGUAAAGUACUUUCAGCGGGGAGGAAGGGAGUAAAGUUAAUACCUUUGCUCAUUGACGUUACCCGCAGAAGAAGCACCGGCUAACUCCGUG
This 490-nucleotide ribosomal RNA is filed under the name uncultured bacterium. Its description in RNAcentral is "partial 16S ribosomal RNA". It matches the Rfam family "Bacterial small subunit ribosomal RNA", at positions 30 to 507 of the family's 1533-position model. The record is from RNAcentral.